ACAAUGUCCUAAUUCUUAGAUUACCUUACUGUUGCUCAUUGGUCUACUGUAGUAACCUCUUGAGUAGUCUUUGAUUACUAUGAAAAUUGAACAUCUUUUUUGUGAAUUCUUAGGACCUCUUGUGUGAGUUAUCUGUUUUUAUCAUGUGAUGAAUUAUUUUAUUAUAUGCUGUCAAAAAUUUUUAGUCAUUUGAAAUUUUACUGUACAGAAUAUUUAUUCUCUUUUUCUGUAUUUCUUCAUUUUGAACAUCGUCACCUCUUGUAGUUUGUAUAUUCUAGUCGGUAAACGUUUUACCAGAUUAUUAUGACAGAAGCUGGGA
This 319-nucleotide long non-coding RNA is filed under the name Bos taurus (domestic cattle). RNAcentral's name for it is "long non-coding RNA NONBTAT014174". The record is from RNAcentral. Lineage: Eukaryota; Metazoa; Chordata; Mammalia; Artiodactyla; Bovidae.